GGAAGGAUCAUUACCGAACCGUCGACACGAGUUGUCGCUGGUCCUCGAAAGGGGGCAUGUGCACGCUCUGUUUGCACAUCCACUCACACCUGUGCACCCUCCGUAGUUCUGUGGUCUUGGGGGCUACGUCCUCUCGCCGUGGUCCUGCGUCUUUACACACACAACCGUAACAAAGUCACAUGGAAUGUAUGCCGCGUUCGACGCGAUACAAUACAACUUUCAGCAACGGAUCUCUUGGCUCUCGCAUCGAUGAAGAACGCAGCGAAAUGCGAUAAGUAAUGUGAAUUGCAGAAUUCAGUGAAUCAUCGAAUCUUUGAACGCACCUUGCGCCCUUUGGCUAUUCCGAAGGGCAUGCCUGUUUGAGUAUCAUGAACACCUCAACUCUCAUGGCCUGCCAUGAUGAGCUUGGACUUUGGGGGUCUUGCCGGCCUGACGGUCGGCUCCUCUCAAAAGCAUCAGCUUGCCAGUGUUUGGUGGCGUUCACGGGUGUGAUAACUAUCUACGCUCGUGGUCUUCCGCCAGGUAACCUUCAGCGAUGGGGGUUCGCUGGGGCUCACAGAUGUCUCUCCUCGGGAAAGACGGCUUUUUGAACGUUUGAUCUCAAAUCAGGUAGGACUACCCGCUGAACUUAAGCAUAUCAAUAAGCGGAGGAAAAGAAACUAACAAGGAUUCCCCUAGUAACUGCGAGUGAAGCGGGAAGAGCUCAAAUUUAAAAUCUGGCGUGCCUCUGGCCGUCCGAGUUGUAGUCUGGAGAAGCGU
RNAcentral lists this unclassified non-coding RNA (759 nucleotides) under uncultured Thelephoraceae. RNAcentral describes it as "sequence contains ITS1, 5.8S rRNA gene, ITS2". The stretch from base 215 to 369 matches the Rfam family "5.8S ribosomal RNA". The record is from RNAcentral. Lineage: Eukaryota; Fungi; Basidiomycota; Agaricomycetes; Thelephorales; Thelephoraceae.